Molecule: unclassified non-coding RNA, 1858 nt
Filed under: Hevea brasiliensis (rubber tree)
Lineage: Eukaryota; Viridiplantae; Streptophyta; Magnoliopsida; Malpighiales; Euphorbiaceae
Source: RNAcentral
AAAAAACCCAAAACAAAUAACGUCAUCAGAUGCGGUGGAGAUCAGCCUCUUUCCUUAUCGACGGACAACAAGACGACACCUCACAGCGCAGCCCGGAAAUUCUCUCUCCCUCUCCUCCGUCUCUUUCCUCCAUGGCCAACGCUCUGCAAAACCUUAACUCUAAGAAUAUUAAUAAUUACAUUUCCGCUUAUUAACAGACUCGUGCAGCCCACCAUGGCGUCGUCACUAGCGACUGGCUCGCCUCCCAGGCGCAGGUCGCUGUCGCGGUUGGCCGCCAUUCUGAUGAUUUAUUGCCGUCGGAACCUGAACUCAGAGUCGCUGGAAAGCCGUUUAGUGUGAUCGAUGAGUUUAAUAACUGGAGGAAGCAACCGAACUUAGCGGAGGCUGUUGCGGCGAUUAGAGCUCUUACGGCUAUGAUUAGGAAUAGUGAGGCGACGACGACGACGGGGCUUGAAAUCGAGCUCUGGGAGGCGUCGGAUUCGCUCAAGGUGAGUUUUCUCUCCUUUUUCUCUUUUUCCCCCUUCUUUUUUGAUAGUUUUUAAUUGUCUGGUCAUGUUAAUGAUUAAUGUGUGUUGUGUUAAAAUUUGGAAUGCAAUGCGGCAAUUAGAGCUGAAAUUGGAUUAUUUAUCUAUUUUGACUGAUUAGAAUUGAAAAUUAUGAAUAUUGGUUUUGGAAGGAAUCGAAUCUGUGGAUUAAUGAAAAUGUUACAUGGGGAUGCUUAUGUUCCAUGAUCAUAAGUGUGCCAUUUUUGAAGCCGGAGUUUCUUCAGCAAUUUCUUGGAGGUUUCAGCAAAUGUUGCUUUCUUUUAUUAGUGUUGCCUCUUUUUGGUAGUUACUUGCAUUUUAGAAAAGUAUGUGUUAUCCAGUCUUGGGACACAACUUCUAUCUCUUUGACAGCGGGCUGUGAUGUUUAUGUGUUAUGUAACCAAAACUUCGGCCUUGAAAUACGAGGACUUCAAUUCUGCUAAAUCUCGCUUGAUUGACUGUGCAGAGAAGUUUGGAGGGAUAUCUUAUAAGGCACGCAGAACCAUUGCAAUGCUUAGUCAAGAUUUUAUUUUUGAUGGCUGCGCAAUUUUGGUGCAUGGUUUCUCCAGACUUGUGAUGGGAGUCCUGAAGACAGCAACUCUGAAUAAGAAACUCUUUCAAGUUUUCUGCACAGGCAGAGGGAAGGCCUGACAGGACAGGAUUAAUGUUGUCCAAUAACUGGCCAAGCUUGAUGCUCCUGUGGAACUGCUAACGGACUCUGCUGCAGCAUAUUCUAUGGAUGAAUUGAUGUUGGACAUACGAGAUUGCACUUAACCACUACUUACAGUCAGCACAAGGUUUUGGAUAAUUAAUGUAUAAUUAGAACUCCAGCAUAGGAGUUUAGCGUUCAGUUCAUUGAUCUGUUUUGUCAAUUUAAGAAUAUCUGCUUUGCAGUUUGCUCAUCUUUAUCUUUUAGACCAAAAAGACAUGGCACCUGCCUUACGGCCUAUUGAUUGGGGUGCCCAUCCCAUUGAAGGUGGAGGUUGGAACAUCCGCCAUUGAUUAUACUUCUCAAUACCUGACAUUGCUCUUUACUGAUCUUGGUUUGCCCACCCCAACUGUAGUCAGCGAUGAAUUGAUUCAGCUAUACUUGUGGUCAUGUUUGAAUUCUUCUUCAUCGUACUAGAUUUAGACAUGAUGCAAAUAUGUAUGCAUUGUAUUCCUUGACAAUUUUGAAUCCAAUGCAUAAACUUUUGUGUUAAAUGUAGUGGGGUCAAAUUGCAUCAUAUGCAACCUUGUGCUUAUGUUUUUUUAUGGUAAGGUAGUUAAUUUCUUCUAUUGUGCAAUUAUAGAAGAAAAAUGCCAAACUAUAUCGAUGUCAUGUCGUUUUCUUG